This 1202-nucleotide long non-coding RNA is filed under the name Eptatretus burgeri (inshore hagfish). Its description in RNAcentral is "lncRNA (ENSEBUG00000017523.1)". The record is from RNAcentral. Lineage: Eukaryota; Metazoa; Chordata; Myxini; Myxiniformes; Myxinidae.
UACAUUCAAACGGCUAUGACAAUGCAUUUUUGUCUAAAAAUAACAAUAUGUGUCCGAUUUUCUCACCUUUUGCUGAAACUGAAACUUCAACCAUCUUAGCGACCAUGAAAAAUGAAAUCAGAUAUAGAAAUACUGUACCGGUAAGAUAAAGCUGUGAGAGUGUAAGAAAGUGCGAGCCUUACAAAAGAGGCCAAGAGAGAAAGCGGGGAGAGAGGUCAGAGGAGUGAAGGGGAUUGAGGAGGGGUGGGGGAUCGAGGAGGGGUGAGGGAAGGGAAGACUGUGAGGUGAGAGAAAAGGAAAGGCUGAUGUGCGCUGGAGCAUUAAUUCCUGCCCAGACGUGUCCAGAAACAAACACCGCUUGGACACGUCGAGAGACAAACUCUCGUCCGGUCAUAAACACCUUGCGGACAUGUCCGGAGACAACCCCUGCCCGGAAACGUGUGCCAUCCCUCAGAUGGAUUUCAGGUUCGUACUAACUGUGCACAACAUAGUCAACUGAUGUCUGACCAGCAAGCAGCAGAAGGGGGCCAGGAGCGAGAAGUCCCACCUCCCAAUCAUCAGAAAGAUGAUAAUCAUGGAGGCUCGAAGUCCCGAUUGCAGCCUGAAUGCAUUGUGCACAUCCCUGGGUUACAAUAUGGCCCUAUGGUGCUAUUAUCCACAGCCCGACUAGCAAGGUUGAAGGAGAUCCGAGACAAGGGACUGGUGCAACCACAUGGAUCAGUCCAACGCAUGACGAGUACCUGUGACCUAAUACCAGAUUCCCUGACUGAGUGUCAACGAUUUACCAUGAACCUCAGUCACCUCUCCACUCCUUCAGAUCCAUCUACUCCAUUAUGCUCCAAGUUAAGUCAGAGGGAUUCAUCAGGGGACAAGAUGGAGUUUCUACAGCCUUGUUUCUGCAGUUUCUGCAGCCAUGCAGCAGAGCCUCGAUCUGAGGAGAUGGAGGCUCCACCCACGCCUUCAGCCAAAAACACGUGGGCAAUGGCGACCCGGUUGAGUGAGUGACGGUGCCAUUGUUGUUUUUGUAGAUGUAAUAAACCUGACUAUAAAAUAACUCACAGCGCACACACAAAAUUCCCAUUAGACAGAAGAAUGGGACCCUGACUAUAAACACAUACUUAUCGAAAUAACUGAACUGCGGGGGCUGCUGUCUGUCUGUGUGCAAAUGGCUUCCAGAUUCGUAACAGUAUUUCAGACCUUCC